RNAcentral lists this transfer RNA (458 nucleotides) under uncultured Prochlorococcus sp. RNAcentral describes it as "partial 16S-23S ribosomal RNA intergenic spacer". The stretch from base 211 to 283 matches the Rfam family "tRNA". The record is from RNAcentral. Lineage: Bacteria; Bacillati; Cyanobacteriota; Cyanophyceae; Synechococcales; Prochlorococcaceae.
CAGGGAGACAACAAAAUGUUAAAUAUUAAUUUUGCCACCUUAGGUCGAUCGGUAUCUCACAUUCUUAAUCUAAUUAAGGAUUUUAUUUCCUAAGUUUUUCUAGGUCACACCCAUCACUUUUCCUGGGCCAUUAGCUCAGGUGGUUAGAGCGCACCCCUGAUAAGGGUGAGGUCCCUGGUUCAAGUCCAGGAUGGCCCAUAUCUCUAUGUUGGGGGUAUAGCUCAGUUGGUAGAGCGCCUGCUUUGCAAGCAGGAUGUCAGCGGUUCGAGUCCGCUUACCUCCACUGAUUACCACCUCUUCCAUAUAUAAAAGGAAAAUUUGAGUUGUGAUCUUAUUCUGAACGAAUCUAGCUUCCUAAUUAAAAUUAUUAAGAUGCUGGACUCAUUGAAUUUAUUUCAUUGUUUUCAGAGAACCUUGACAACUGCAUAGAUUAUUUUUAAAGACAAUAAGCAUCUUUA